GAUGAAGAACGUAGCGAAAUGCGAUAAGUAAUGUGAAUUGCAGAGUUCAGUGAAUCAUCGAAUCUUUGAACGCACAUUGCGCCCACUGGUAUUCCGGUGGGCAUGCCUGUUCGAGCGUCAUUAUCCUCCCUCAAACCCCGGGUUUGGUGUUGGACCCAAGUUGUGUGAACAACUGGUCUCAAAGACAAUGACGGCGUCCGUGGGACCCUCGGUGCAACGAGCUUUUAGGAGCACGCAUCGAGUUGCAAGGACCUUCCGGGCCGGUCUCCUUUACCAUUUUACAAGGUUGACCUCGGAUCAGGUAGGAAUACCCGCUGAACUUAAGCAUAUCAAUAAGCGGAGGA
This 344-nucleotide unclassified non-coding RNA is filed under the name soil metagenome. RNAcentral describes it as "partial contains 5.8S ribosomal RNA, internal transcribed spacer 2, and large subunit ribosomal RNA". The stretch from base 1 to 120 matches the Rfam family "5.8S ribosomal RNA", at positions 35 to 154 of the family's 154-position model. The record is from RNAcentral.